RNAcentral lists this ribosomal RNA (1343 nucleotides) under uncultured bacterium. RNAcentral's name for it is "16S ribosomal RNA". It matches the Rfam family "Bacterial small subunit ribosomal RNA", at positions 28 to 1378 of the family's 1533-position model. The record is from RNAcentral.
GACGAACGCUGGCGGCGUGCUUAACACAUGCAAGUCGAACGGAAAGGCCCUGCUUUUGUGGGGUGCUCGAGUGGCGAACGGGUGAGUAACACGUGAGUAACCUGCCCUUGACUUUGGGAUAACUUCAGGAAACUGGGGCUAAUACCGGAUAGGAGCUCCUGCUGCAUGGUGGGGGUUGGAAAGUUUCGGCGGUUGGGGAUGGACUCGCGGCUUAUCAGCUUGUUGGUGGGGUAGUGGCUUACCAAGGCUUUGACGGGUAGCCGGCCUGAGAGGGUGACCGGCCACAUUGGGACUGAGAUACGGCCCAGACUCCUACGGGAGGCAGCAGUGGGGAAUAUUGCACAAUGGGCGGAAGCCUGAUGCAGCAACGCCGCGUGCGGGAUGACGGCCUUCGGGUUGUAAACCGCUUCCGCCUGUGACGAAGCGUGAGUGACGGUAAUGGGUAAAGAAGCACCGGCUAACUACGUGCCAGCAGCCGCGGUGAUACGUAGGGUGCGAGCGUUGUCCGGAUUUAUUGGGCGUAAAGGGCUCGUAGGUGGUUGAUCGCGUCGGAAGUGUAAUCUUGGGGCUUAACCCUGAGCGUGCUUUCGAUACGGGUUGACUUGAGGAAGGUAGGGGAGAAUGGAAUUCCUGGUGGAGCGGUGGAAUGCGCAGAUAUCAGGAGGAACACCAGUGGCGAAGGCGGUUCUCUGGGCCUUUCCUGACGCUGAGGAGCGAAAGCGUGGGGAGCGAACAGGCUUAGAUACCCUGGUAGUCCACGCUGUAAACGGUGGGUACUAGGUGUGGGGUCCAUUCCACGGGUUCCGUGCCGUAGCUAACGCUUUAAGUACCCCGCCUGGGGAGUACGGCCGCAAGGCUAAAACUCAAAGGAAUUGACGGGGCCCCGCACAAGCGGCGGAGCAUGCGGAUUAAUUCGAUGCAACGCGUAGAACCUUACCUGGGUUUGACAUGGAUCGGGAGUGCUCAGAGAUGGGUGUGCCUCUUUUGGGGUCGGUUCACAGGUGGUGCAUGGCUGUCGUCAGCUCGUGUCGUGAGAUGUCGGGUUAAGUCCCGCAACGAGCGCAACCCUUGUUCACUGUUGCCAGCACGUUAUGGUGGGGACUCAGUGGAGACCGCCGGGGUCAACUCGGAGGAAGGUGGGGAUGACGUCAAGUCAUCAUGCCCCUUAUGUCCAGGGCUUCACGCAUGCUACAAUGGCUGGUACAGAGAGUGGCGAGCCUGUGAGGGUGAGCGAAUCUCGGAAAGCCGGUCUCAGUUCGGAUUGGGGUCUGCAACUCGACCUCAUGAAGUCGGAGUCGCUAGUAAUCGCAGAUCAGCAACGCUGCGGUGAAUACGUUCCCGGG